RNAcentral lists this long non-coding RNA (307 nucleotides) under Elaeis guineensis (African oil palm). RNAcentral's name for it is "long non-coding RNA (EGUI_LNC050991)". The record is from RNAcentral. Lineage: Eukaryota; Viridiplantae; Streptophyta; Magnoliopsida; Arecales; Arecaceae.
GGGUCCUUUAGUAUGAUGAUCAUUGGAGGCCCCAAAGGCCUGGUGCUCAUCUGCUAUUGAAAUUAUCAUUCAUAAUAUGAUGACUUAGUUGAGUCUCUCUACCAAGUGGUCAGAUUAGCUGACUAAAAUCGGGCCUGAUCAUUUGGUUGUUGGAUUCGUAAGUAUGAUCAUGUUAAUGGUUGGACCUAACCAGAGCUUGUAGAGAAGACCAAAGUCAAUUAAAAAGUUAUCUGGGGCUAAAUUAAUUACUAAAAAUUAUUUGGUGAAAUAAUUGAUUAAUAAACCUAUCCAUAUAUGUACAUGGGUG